CCCUUCCUUGCCCCCAUGGCUCCAUUCUCACAUUCUCUACUUCACAACCAUCACCUCCAACUCUUUCUCCUUCUCCAAUGGCCUCCGAUCUUGGCUUCUCGCCGCUCGCCUCGCACCUCACCCUUCGUCCCCGCCCCCUUCUUCCUCUCCUUCGCACUUUCGUUUCCUCUCGUUCUUCUCCUCAUCGCAGAUCUCUUGGUCGUUGUUUGGCUCAUUUCCAUGGCCAUCGCCGCCACCGGGUUGUGCUCUUGCGUCGUCCCCGGGUCGCCGAUCAACCAGGUCAGGUUCAGCAAGAUGAUGUUGUUGAUGACAAAAUCUUGCCAUAUUGUAGCUUAGAUAAGAAAGCUGAGAAGAGGACGAUAGGAGAGAUGGAACAGGAGUUUUUGCAAGCUUUACAAUCAUUCUACUAUGAUAAAGAGCCGAUAAUGUCAAAUGAGGAAUUUGAUAAUCUCAAAGAAGAAUUGAUGUGGGAAGGAAGCAGCGUGGUUAUGUUAAGUCCUGAUGAGCAAAAGCUUUUGGAAGCUUCGAUGGCAUAUGCUUCGGGCAAUCCGAUUAUGACAGAUGCAGAAUUUGACGAGUUGAAGAUGAGAUUAAGGAAAGAGGGAAGUGACAUUGUACAAGAAGGCCCACGUUGUAGUCUUCGAAGCAGGAAGGUCUACAGUGACUUGUCUGUUGACUAUUUCAAAAUGUUCCUGUUAAAUGUGCCAGCUGCAGUUGUUGCUUUGGGAUUGUUUUUCUUUUUAGAUGAUUUGACGGGAUUUGAAAUAACUUACCUGUUGGAGUUGCCUGAGCCAUUCAGUUUCAUUUUCACAUGGUUUGCUGCUGUGCCCCUCAUAUUUUGGUUAUCACAGGCAUUCACUAAUGCCAUUUUGAAGGACUUUUUGAUCCUAAAGGGUCCUUGCCCAAACUGUAGUACAGAAAAUGUCUCUUUCUUUGGGACUAUAUUGUCUAUCUCCAGUGGCGGCUCAACAAAUACUGUGAAGUGUUCAAAUUGCGCAACCACCAUGGUGUAUGACUCGCGAGCUCGCUUGAUCACCCUUCCAGAGCCAAGUGAAGCCUGAGUAUGGGUAACUAUACUCCCGUCGCAUCUCAAGAAAUGAGUGUUGAAACAGUACGACUUUAAAGAAUGAUCAUUUUGGAUCUUCAAUUUUAUAUUGUUAUAGAUUGAUAUUGAAGGAAGCCUGAAGCUCAAUGCUGCACAUCCAUCAUCACUUGGGCACUGACUGAUUUCUGGUAAAUGCUCUCGAUACUCAUGUAUUUAUAAGCAAUAGAAACUUUAUCGCAGCCUUUUUGUGUAUAUUUAUAUUGUAUUUCAGUUUCAGCGUUGUACUUUUCAGUUAUGUUGAUAAAUAAACUAGGUGAUGAUCAAUGCCAACUGCCCUGUAUAAAGUAGAAAUUUGCGUAUCUCCCUUUCCACAUUGUGAUAUUCAGAAUGUUUGUAGUUGCUUUGCAACUAAAGAAAGAAAGGAUGACUACCAUGAAUACAACAGAAAAUAGUGAACUCGCAUACCGUGAAAAAUUUA
RNA transcript from Dioscorea cayenensis subsp. rotundata (Guinea yam), 1523 nucleotides. It is a transcript of the gene named PGR5-like protein 1B, chloroplastic, with no coding region annotated. The record is from RefSeq and is a predicted model, not a curated record. NCBI's taxonomy places the organism in Eukaryota, Viridiplantae, Streptophyta, Magnoliopsida, Dioscoreales, Dioscoreaceae. The transcript has 11 exons.